RNAcentral lists this long non-coding RNA (502 nucleotides) under Anser brachyrhynchus (Pink-footed goose). RNAcentral's name for it is "lncRNA (ENSABRG00000007655.1)". The record is from RNAcentral. Lineage: Eukaryota; Metazoa; Chordata; Aves; Anseriformes; Anatidae.
AAGCAGGAACAUUACUAUUCGGGGUUGGGGAACACUAAAACUUCAGCACCGGAAAAGACUACAGGAAUUAAGUGUUUUCACUAAUUUUGAUCUUAUGCAGGGGUCUUUGCUGAAGAGCGGACUGUAUGAAAACUGCAAAACCAAGCUCAUUCUGAGCAUCACGAUUUCUUGCUUUAAAACUGAAUUUCAGUUAUCCAAGAGCUGCUAAAUCUGUUUUAAAAGAACUUUUAAGCUUUGAGAGGGCAGGAACAGGAAACUUCAAUCGGAAAGUGAAUUACAUUUUAAGGGCUGAAUGGAAACCACAUGAAGAAAGCAGAUAUAAAUGUCCUUAAUGCAAAUCUGCAAUACUGUUUUUGCUGACUUAUUUUCCCCCUGCUUUCAUGUCCAGCCAGUCAGUCAAGCCUGCUUCAUGUCCCUUACAGACUGCUUGCACUCUGAAGACAUGAAAAUUGAAAACGUUUCAAAGAAUCACAGAAUGGGCAAGGUUGGAAGGGACCUCUGA